Molecule: non-coding RNA, 94 nt
Organism: Mycena crocata
Lineage: Eukaryota; Fungi; Basidiomycota; Agaricomycetes; Agaricales; Mycenaceae
Source: the annotation of a GenBank genome assembly
UCAGACAUGGUGUAGUUGGAAACAUAACCUUCUUACUUUCCUUGAAUGAAAUACCGAUUUGAGGUUGUCCUGGGUUCGAACCCCAGUGUCUGAG